This 1551-nucleotide ribosomal RNA is filed under the name Salmonella enterica. RNAcentral describes it as "partial 23S ribosomal RNA". It matches the Rfam family "Bacterial large subunit ribosomal RNA", at positions 1268 to 2802 of the family's 2925-position model. Lineage: Bacteria; Pseudomonadati; Pseudomonadota; Gammaproteobacteria; Enterobacterales; Enterobacteriaceae. The record is from RNAcentral.
GCAUGCUGGAGGUAUCAGAAGUGCGAAUGCUGACAUAAGUAACGAUAAAGCGGGUGAAAAGCCCGCUCGCCGGAAGACCAAGGGUUCCUGUCCAACGUUAAUCGGGGCAGGGUGAGUCGACCCCUAAGGCGAGGCCGAAAGGCGUAGUCGAUGGGAAACGGGUUAAUAUUCCCGUACUUGGUGUUACUGCGAAGGGGGGACGGAGAAGGCUAUGUUGGCCGGGCGACGGUUGUCCCGGUUUAAGCGUGUAGGUGUGUGUUCCAGGUAAAUCCGGUUCACUUUAACACUGAGGCGUGACGACGAGGCACUACGGUGCUGAAGCAACAAAUGCCCUGCUUCCAGGAAAAGCCUCUAAGCAUCAGGUAACAUCAAAUCGUACCCCAAACCGACACAGGUGGUCAGGUAGAGAAUACCAAGGCGCUUGAGAGAACUCGGGUGAAGGAACUAGGCAAAAUGGUGCCGUAACUUCGGGAGAAGGCACGCUGACACGUAGGUGAAGUGAUUUACUCAUGGAGCUGAAGUCAGUCGAAGAUACCAGCUGGCUGCAACUGUUUAUUAAAAACACAGCACUGUGCAAACACGAAAGUGGACGUAUACGGUGUGACGCCUGCCCGGUGCCGGAAGGUUAAUUGAUGGGGUCAGCGCAAGCGAAGCUCCUGAUCGAAGCCCCGGUAAACGGCGGCCGUAACUAUAACGGUCCUAAGGUAGCGAAAUUCCUUGUCGGGUAAGUUCCGACCUGCACGAAUGGCGUAAUGAUGGCCAGGCUGUCUCCACCCGAGACUCAGUGAAAUUGAACUCGCUGUGAAGAUGCAGUGUACCCGCGGCAAGACGGAAAGACCCCGUGAACCUUUACUAUAGCUUGACACUGAACAUUGAGCCUUGAUGUGUAGGAUAGGUGGGAGGCUUUGAAGUGUGGACGCCAGUCUGCAUGGAGCCGACCUUGAAAUACCACCCUUUAAUGUUUGAUGUUCUAACGUGGACCCGUUACCCGGGUUGCGGACAGUGUCUGGUGGGUAGUUUGACUGGGGCGGUCUCCUCCUAAAGAGUAACGGAGGAGCACGAAGGUUGGCUAAUCCUGGUCGGACAUCAGGAGGUUAGUGCAAUGGCAUAAGCCAGCUUGACUGCGAGCGUGACGGCGCGAGCAGGUGCGAAAGCAGGUCAUAGUGAUCCGGUGGUUCUGAAUGGAAGGGCCAUCGCUCAACGGAUAAAAGGUACUCCGGGGAUAACAGGCUGAUACCGCCCAAGAGUUCAUAUCGACGGCGGUGUUUGGCACCUCGAUGUCGGCUCAUCACAUCCUGGGGCUGAAGUAGGUCCCAAGGGUAUGGCUGUUCGCCAUUUAAAGUGGUACGCGAGCUGGGUUUAGAACGUCGUGAGACAGUUCGGUCCCUAUCUGCCGUGGGCGCUGGAGAACUGAGGGGGGCUGCUCCUAGUACGAGAGGACCGGAGUGGACGCAUCACUGGUGUUCGGGUUGUCAUGCCAAUGGCACUGCCCGGUAGCUAAAUGCGGAAGAGAUAAGUGCUGAAAGCAUCUAAGCACGAAACUUGCCCCGA